CUUCAUGGAGGGCAAACCCGGUGAAAACCGGGGGCGCAAAGCCGUGAGUCUAAGGCACCGCUAUUAAGUAGGACUUAAACAGUCAGACAGGCGGGGCUAUGAUUGUCAGGUUGCAAGU
Molecule: non-coding RNA, 118 nt
Filed under: Peptococcaceae bacterium
Lineage: Bacteria; Bacillati; Bacillota; Clostridia; Eubacteriales; Peptococcaceae
Description: c-di-GMP sequence
Rfam family: c-di-GMP-I riboswitch aptamer
About the family: GEMM was predicted in a large-scale screen for bacterial structured RNA regulatory elements. Genes associated with GEMM are involved in a diverse array of functions, including chemotaxis regulation, signal transduction, secretion and chitin.
Source: RNAcentral